RNAcentral lists this ribosomal RNA (254 nucleotides) under uncultured bacterium. RNAcentral describes it as "partial 16S ribosomal RNA". It matches the Rfam family "Bacterial small subunit ribosomal RNA", at positions 524 to 777 of the family's 1533-position model. The record is from RNAcentral.
UACGAAGGGGGCUAGCGUUGUUCGGAUUUACUGGGCGUAAAGCGCACGUAGGCGGAUUGUUAAGUCAGGGGUGAAAUCCUGGAGCUCAACUCCAGAACUGCCUUUGAUACUGGCAAUCUAGAGUCCGGAAGAGGUGAGUGGAACUCCUAGUGUAGAGGUGGAAUUCGUAGAUAUUAGGAAGAACACCAGUGGCGAAGGCGGCUCACUGGUCCGGUACUGACGCUGAGGUGCGAAAGCGUGGGGAGCAAACAGGG